RNAcentral lists this ribosomal RNA (3276 nucleotides) under Rhodococcoides fascians. RNAcentral's name for it is "23S ribosomal RNA". It matches the Rfam family "Bacterial large subunit ribosomal RNA". The record is from RNAcentral. Lineage: Bacteria; Bacillati; Actinomycetota; Actinomycetes; Mycobacteriales; Nocardiaceae.
ACAGUGGACGCGAGCAUCUUUGUUGUAAGUAAUGAAGAGCGUACGGUGGAUGCCUUGGCACCAGGAGCCGAUGAAGGACGUAGGAGGCUGCGAUAAGCCUCGGGGAGCUGUCAACCGAGCUGUGAUCCGAGGGUGUCCGAAUGGGGAAACCCAGCACGAGUGAUGUCGUGUUACCCGCAUCUGAAUAUAUAGGGUGUGUGGAGGGAACGUGGGGAAGUGAAACAUCUCAGUACCCACAGGAAGAGAAAACAAUAGUGAUUCCGUGAGUAGUGGCGAGCGAAAGCGGAUGAGGCCAAACUUUGUGCGUGUGAUACCCGGCAGGGGUUGCGUAUGGAGGGUUGUGGGGUUUGCAUUGUCGAUUCUGCCGGAUCGGCCGACAGUGAGAAAUUGUGGUGUUAGUCGAAGUGGUCUGGAACGGCCUGUCGUAGAGGGUGAGAGUCCCGUAGACGAAAACAUUGCAACUGUCGUUGUGGAUACCCAAGUAGCAGCGGGCCCGUGAAAUCUGCUGUGAAUCUGUCGGGACCACCCGAUAAGCCUGAAUACUCCCUGGUGACCGAUAGCGGACUAGUACCGUGAGGGAAAGGUGAAAAGUACCCCGGGAGGGGAGUGAAAUAGUACCUGAAACCGUGCGCUUACAAUCCGUCAAAGCCGGUGCAUGACUUGUCAUGGCUGGUGAUGGCGUGCCUUUUGAAGAAUGAGCCUGCGAGUUAGUGGCAUGUCGCGAGGUUAACCCGUGUGGGGUAGCCGUAGCGAAAGCGAGUCCGAAUAGGGCGUAUCCACCUUGUGUGGUGUAGUGGCGUGUUCUAGACCCGAAGCGGAGUGAUCUACCCAUGGCCAGGUUGAAGCGACGGUAAGACGUCGUGGAGGACCGAACCCACUUAGGUUGAAAACUGAGGGGAUGAGUUGUGGGUAGGGGUGAAAGGCCAAUCAAACUCCGUGAUAGCUGGUUCUCCCCGAAAUGCAUUUAGGUGCAGCGUCACGUGUUUCUCACCGGAGGUAGAGCUACUGGAUGGUCUAGGGGGCCUACAAGCUUACCGAAAUCAGCCAAACUCCGAAUGCCGGUGAGUGAGAGCGUGGCAGUGAGACUGCGGGCGAUAAGGUUCGUAGUCGAGAGGGAAACAGCCCAGAUCGCCAGCUAAGGUCCCUAAGCGUGUACUAAGUGGAAAAGGAUGUGGGGUCGCGAAGACAACCAGGAGGUUGGCUUAGAAGCAGCCACCCUUGAAAGAGUGCGUAAUAGCUCACUGGUCAAGUGAUCCUGCGCCGACAAUGUAGCGGGGCUCAAGUACACCACCGAAGCUGCGGCACUCACACAAUAGCCCCAUUCAGGUCUGCGGAUCUGUGUGCAGGUGUGUGGGUGGGUAGGGGAGCGUCGUGCAGCCAUGGAAGCAUCGGAGUGAUCCAGGUGUGGAGGCUGCGCGAGUGAGAAUGCAGGCAUGAGUAGCGAAAGACGAGUGAGAAACUCGUCCGCCGAAUGACCAAGGGUUCCUGGGCCAGGUUAAUCCGCCCAGGGUGAGUCGGGACCUAAGACGAGGCCGACAGGCGUAGCCGAUGGACAACGGGUUGAUAUUCCCGUACCCGUGUAACCGCGCCCAUGGUGAAUCAGUGACACUAACCACCCUGAAUCCAUAUGACCGAUCUCUUUCGAGAGUGAGGCGUGUGGUGGAUGCGUGGGACCUGAUCUGGUAGUAGCCAAGCGAUGGGGUGACGCAGGAAGGUAGCUGGGCCAGUCAGUGGUUGUACUGGUGUAAGCCUGUAGGGCGAACGGUAGGCAAAUCCGCCGUUCACAUAGCCUGAGAGGUGAUGCGUAGCCGAUUGAGGCGAAUUCAGUGAUCCUAUGCUGCCGAGAAAAGCCUCUAGUGAGUUGUUACACGGCCCGUACCCCANAAGCCUGAGAGGUGAUGCGUAGCCGAUUGAGGCGAAUUCAGUGAUCCUAUGCUGCCGAGAAAAGCCUCUAGUGAGUUGUUACACGGCCCGUACCCCAAACCGACACAGGUGGUCAGGUAGAGAAUACUAAGGCGAUCGAGAUAACUAUGGUUAAGGAACUCGGCAAAAUGCCCCCGUAACUUCGGGAGAAGGGGGGCCCCUGCCGGUGAUCACUCUUGCAGUGUGAGCUGGUGUGGGCCGCAGAGACCAGUGAGAAGCGACUGUUUACUAAAAACACAGGUCCGUGCGAAGUCGUAAGACGAUGUAUACGGACUGACGCCUGCCCGGUGCUGGAAGGUUAAGAGGACCGGUUAGCCAGUAAUGGCGAAGCUGAGAAUUUAAGCCCCAGUAAACGGCGGUGGUAACUAUAACCAUCCUAAGGUAGCGAAAUUCCUUGUCGGGUAAGUUCCGACCUGCACGAAUGGCGUAACGACUUCUCAGCUGUCUCAACCAUAGACUCGGCGAAAUUGCAUUACGAGUAAAGAUGCUCGUUACGCGCGGCAGGACGAAAAGACCCCGGGACCUUCACUACAGCUUGGUAUUGGUGUUCGGUUCGGUUUGUGUAGGAUAGGUGGGAGACUGUGAAGCGGUGACGCCAGUUACUGUGGAGUCGUUGUUGAAAUACCACUCUGAUCGUAUUGGAUACCUCAACCUCGGACCAUGAUCUGGUUCAGGGACAGUGCCUGGUGGGUAGUUUAACUGGGGCGGUUGCCUCCUAAAAUGUAACGGAGGCGCCCAAAGGUUCCCUCAGCCUGGUUGGCAAUCAGGUGUCGAGUGCAAGUGCACAAGGGAGCUUGACUGUGAGACUGACAAGUCGAGCAGGGACGAAAGUCGGGACUAGUGAUCCGGCACCGGCAAGUGGAAGCGGUGUCGCUCAACGGAUAAAAGGUACCCCGGGGAUAACAGGCUGAUCUUCCCCAAGAGUCCAUAUCGACGGGAUGGUUUGGCACCUCGAUGUCGGCUCGUCGCAUCCUGGGGCUGGAGUAGGUCCCAAGGGUUGGGCUGUUCGCCCAUUAAAGCGGCACGCGAGCUGGGUUUAGAACGUCGUGAGACAGUUCGGUCUCUAUCCGCCGCGCGCGUAAGAAACUUGAGGAAGGCUGUCCCUAGUACGAGAGGACCGGGACGGACGAACCUCUGGUGUGCCAGUUGUUCCACCAGGAGCACCGCUGGUUGGCUACGUUCGGAAGGGAUAACCGCUGAAAGCAUCUAAGCGGGAAGCCUGUUCCAAGAUGAGGUUUCUCACCCCCUCGAGGGGGUAAGGCCCCCGGCAGACCACCGGGUUGAUAGGCCAGAACUGGAAGUACAGCAAUGUAUGCAGGUGACUGGUACUAAUAGGCCGAGGACUUACCACAA